Molecule: ribosomal RNA, 301 nt
Filed under: uncultured bacterium
Lineage: Bacteria
Description: partial 16S ribosomal RNA
Rfam family: Bacterial small subunit ribosomal RNA
Source: RNAcentral
CAGCAGCCGCGGGAAUACGGAGGGUGCAAGCGUUAAUCGGAAUUACUGGGCGUAAAGCGCACGCAGGCGGUUUGUUAAGUCAGAUGUGAAAUCCCCGGGCUCAACCUGGGAGCUGCAUUUGUGACUGGCAAGCUAGAGUCUGGCAGAGGGGGGUGGAAUUCCGCGUGUAGCAGUGAAAUGCGUAGAUAUGCGGAGGAACACCGAUGGCGAAGGCAGCCCCCUGGGCCAACACUGACGCUCAUGCACGAAAGCGUGGGGAGCAAACAGGAUUAGAUACCCCAGUAGUCCCUGUCUCUUAUAC